UAAAAAAAAAAUAAAAAACGUGCUAUAAGAAGGCGAGAGGAGGUAGUGAGUGGCAGGGCGCCGUGGGGAGCUGAGGCUGAGGGUUUAGCACAACACGGCGAGGAACUCCGCUGCCGGAAUGGCGACGGAGAGCGAGGCGGGGCGAGGCGGAGUGUUGGGGCAAUAUGACUGUGGGUUCCCCGGGUAGAGGCACGGGGGUAUACUCGUAGGGUCAGGGGGCGUGGUUCGGCGGGCCCAAGGGCUCGUCGGUCUAUUAUCUGCGGUGUGAAGGGUUUGACCGCAGCGCCGAGGCCGCCACGUGCAAUGGGACGCGCCGGUGGCGAGAGGAGGGCGUCACGGCAGCGGGAGGCUGUGGGCGGGGGAUCGUCCGCCGCGGAUGACAAAGUUGUUGCGGAAAUGUGUAGUCACGUUGCAUUGCUAAAGUGUUCACCUUGUGGUGCCGGGAGCCGCUGCUUGCUGUGCAGCCUUGUGCUCCAUCUGACGCCGAGAAGCAGGCCGAGCGUAACAGGUUUGUGCGUUCAUUCGUUCAGCAAUAACUGGAUGCGAGUUUUUAUUCAACAUUUCGUGAAAGCGCCGCAGCGUCAAGGUCAGCGGUGUGCCAGAGGGCGGCAGUGAUCCAGAGGCGCCCCAGCCAGCCCUUCACUGCCACAGCAUUGCGCCCCGCGUGACGCCGCCGCCAGGGCACCCAAGUGUGUCGCGGUCACCCACCUGCUGGCCACGCAUCCCCCGGGCCAUAUGUGGGGGUCGUAGCGCGUGCGUGCGGCCGCCUGUGCGGUGCGCGACUUGCUGCAUGCUAGCACGAACAACCGCACCUAACUGUAGGGUCACGCAGGCUGGGGCAUCCUUGCGCCCAGCAUCCGCCGCCCACGUCCAGCAGCAACACCCACCGCCCAGCGGCCGAGAAAGAACGGCCGACAGUCAACAGCGCCAAGUGCCAAGAGUGCCAGCGGUGCCGACCACCACCCGCUGGCACGCUGCACUGUCACGAUGGUCAGGGUGACGAAAAUCACCGUCGGUGCGGCGAGGGACGUGACGUCCUACUCGGCACUAAAGAAAUCCACUACGCUCACCCAGCCACUCAUAAGGGCCUUGUCAGAAGCUAUGACUGACUUACACCUUCAUUAAAUGGUUCCUUAAUGUUCCUUAAUAAAAAUACGUUUCGAAUAUUUUUUAGGCACAGAAAACAAUUACAGCUUUAAACGUGUCCUGUCCCUUAGCCGCGGCCAGGGCGAGGAGCAGGUGUUGUGGGUGAGAAACGGAGUGACAGGAGGUGACAACCUGACGGACACCUGUCCAACGCCCCGCCCAAGCAGCAUCCUACUUCCCUCCAGUCUUCCUGUCGUGAACCUUCAGCUGUCGCCCCAUAUAGCACAGCCCUGCCAACCUGUCAUGACGGCCGCUGCCCUGCCUUGCUGCUGCUACCUCCUUGUAGCCGCCGCUGUUUCUACCACUGAUGGACAGACUUACCUCUUUCCGUUGCGUCGCCGCCGCUUGGUGGCAUACACGGUGCCCAGGGUGUUGAGGGCGUUCAUGUUGGUGGUGGGAGUGUUUUGUUGGCUCAGCAUACUGGCUAACGAAGCAUCCUUGGGCCCCGGGCUGAAUGGGCUUGGCGGCGGCACUGGCACUGCUAGUGUCUGGCCGCUGCGACACUUUCUACACUUUACACUCCAACACACAGCCUCACCUCCCAACACGUGGCUGCGCCCUACACACAGGCGGACACACACUCCACAAGGCCGCUAGGCUUCACCAGGAGGCGUACGGGAGGCCUCGCACCACACAUGCCAUCAACACGCCGCACCGCCGUGCCACUGAACACAAGCUCCACACCACCACCACCGUCUCGCGCACACCGACCAUUCGCUUGUUUUGUUUUUACGCGGCAGGGCUGGUGGCAGAUCUGUGUGAGUGCGUACGUGCGUGUGCCGGCCGUGACGCCGCCCACUCGGCCCGCCAGCCAAUGAGCAGCGGGGGGUCGGGGACGGGCCAGAAGACACCCAGCCCAGCCGAGCAGCGGAGGCCAGCACCAACAUGGCGGCAGGACGGUUGACGCCGUGCAGUUGCCACCGCAAGUCUUGUACUUGUUCGGCCAAAACUUGAGUGAAUUCCCAGUGGAAACUUUGCUGGACGAGUACCGCAAGGCCCGGGGGAUGGCGUGGCUGCUGGCGGCGAGGCGGCAGGGGCGGCGCGAGGCUGCCUGGCCCUGUGUUUGUGUCCCCGCCAGGCAGAUAUGAGCGAGGAGGUGAGUGAGGUGCGGGAGUGGAGCAGGCAGGGCGCGGGCUGUGGGCGGGGUGGCGGCCGGCAAGGUGAGGCCGUGCACGCCCCUCCAUCUGGUGCAUCACAGUCCUCCCGGUGCACGGCGCCGCCUCUCACCUCCCGCCGCCUUCCUUCCUGACCACUCUCCCUCACGCAGGGACGCGGCAUGACGGAGCUUUUUCACGGCGGCGGCAACUCCGCGGCAGAGCGCUCCACCACGCCGCCACCCCCGCCGCUGCGGCCGCCACGCCAGGCCGAGCGGUGGGCCUGUGGCCGCCCGCCUCAUGCUGGGCGCCGCGCCGCACCGCCCGCCCUUCCUGGAAAACGAGAGACGGUGCAUCGCUGAAACUUAGCAUCCUUAUUAAAAUAUU
Molecule: long non-coding RNA, 2627 nt
Organism: Scylla paramamosain (green mud crab)
Lineage: Eukaryota; Metazoa; Arthropoda; Malacostraca; Decapoda; Portunidae
Exons: 2
Source: RefSeq, a predicted model, not a curated record